Molecule: small nucleolar RNA, 108 nt
Organism: Malania oleifera
Lineage: Eukaryota; Viridiplantae; Streptophyta; Magnoliopsida; Santalales; Ximeniaceae
Source: RefSeq, a predicted model, not a curated record
AACUUGUGAUGUGGACAAGUACAUAACAAAUCCUUGAAUCUCUCCUAGUAAGCCUGAAAAGUCUCAUCACCCUUCUGCAUAAACUGAAUAAUCUGUUCUUGCAAAAAU